This is a long non-coding RNA of Hypomesus transpacificus, 1006 nucleotides long. RefSeq lists it as uncharacterized. NCBI's taxonomy places the organism in Eukaryota, Metazoa, Chordata, Actinopteri, Osmeriformes, Osmeridae. The record is from RefSeq and is a predicted model, not a curated record. The transcript is spliced from 3 exons.
AUGAUUUCACUGAGAAGGUUCCCAACUAACACCUAAAUGGAUAGCUGGCUGAACCUAGCUCGCUAAAGGAAAGGAAGUGUACGGGAUGUUAAAAGGAAUAGCCUAACUACUCCGUGUUUAUUUGCCACCUACUGCUAGCUGGUUAGCUACUAGCUAGCUAGUUAGAAAGAUAGCAAGAAAGACCCCUAACCGUACUACCACCUGCGUUUACAAACCCAAAGGAAAUCACCAACGGAUGUCUUACACCCGCAGAGCUUGGUGGGUGUACAUUGUCAAUAAGUAUUUCUAACAGUUAACGCUAAGCAACAACGUCCAAACAUAUGAACCAAACUUACACACGUGUAUACCAGUGGCUGCGCAAUAGAAAGUACGUCAUCAAACAGCGACUUUUCCACAAACCUUUCCUACAUGACUAGUGACCACAUCUGACAUUUUUAGGUGUAUGGCGGUGAACGGGCCCCAGUCCUCUGAAUAAUAUUGGAAAUGUCUCACGGUCAUCGUUGGUUGGCUAGAUACAGCAUACGUUGUGAGAGCCAAACUGUGACGUCAGGAAGUGUUCUGAUGCCGAGGGAUCCACCUUUGGCUGCUGAGGUUCUUGUCUAGGAGACAUCCCAACCUGCUGAGACUCAUUUCCGUGAGUCGACUCCCCCCCCCCCCCCCCCCCCAUACAGCAAGCCCACGUGAAGCAGUGCAGUAAUAAUCAUCGAGUAGUAACCAUCAAAAAGCAAUACCACACACACAUUGUAUAGCAUUUGCGGGUGUCCGCUAUUGAAAUGCGGGAGACUCCCGGAACAUCCGGGAGACUUGGGAUGUCUGUCUAUCAGACUCCCCGAAGAAAACACCAGUAGUCCAUCUCCACUACAGCAAGCCCACGUGAAGCAGUGCAGUAAUAAUCAUCAAGUAGUAACCAUCAAAAAGCAAUACCAAAUGAAACACAAAAUGAUAACUUUAUUGAGAACAACAUUAAGUCAAGCAUCUGUGUGAGCGAGAGAGAGAGAGAGAGAGA